Molecule: long non-coding RNA, 877 nt
Organism: Neofelis nebulosa (Clouded leopard)
Lineage: Eukaryota; Metazoa; Chordata; Mammalia; Carnivora; Felidae
Exons: 2
Source: RefSeq, a predicted model, not a curated record
GAGAACUAACACUGUUUUCUAAUGCAGAGAACCUUGUAAUCUCCAGGGAGAUUGGCCCAGAAAAAUGCCUGUCAGGGGCUGCAGUGUGGGUGAGCUGGCUGUCAGUCGGUAGCUCUCGGCACGGCACUGGUAAUUAGUAGAGGAGGAAAUCUGCUCUCCUGGUCCCAGAACCCCUUAAACACCAUAAGCACAAAAGGAGGAGGAAAGCAGGCAUCCUGCAGUAAGGGUCCCAGCUGAGCAAGGGCCUGCCACCCACCAUCCCUCAACACGGCAGGAACAGCCCGUGGGGUGGAGGCAGCGGAGACAAUGGCUUUCCGAGCUCCGGUUGGCACAUUGGACGAUCUUGUUAGAAUGGAGGGCACAAUUAAACAUUACCAGAGCCAGCUCCCGACUGAGUUGCAAAGAAAGAUGUAAACACACACACACACAGACCCACUACACUCACACGCUCCUCGAGCUGAAAAGAAAAUUAAUCAAAAACCCAAUGAACGCCUGAACUCUAUAAUUAAGCCUAAAUGAUCCUCAGAUAGAAAGGGAGCUGAGUGAGCAAGCUCGGUGCACAAAGAUAUUUUUACCCCGGAGUCUUAUUGCCAUUAAUUUCUUUUGAGAUCUUGAGUACAUCUGGUUCCAGUUUCCCUGGUAGGACAUCUGCCUAUGGAAGACCUUCAGGAGAGUUGCCAGCUCAGUGGCAAGGUUAUUGGGCUGUUCCUCCAACACUUUUAUGGGAACGCAUCUGGGGAGGUUACCUAGUAGGACAAGGCACGUCCAUCAAGCAGAACCACUUGGCAGAGACUAAAGAGGAGGAUGGGGCCAUGGCUGGUGGCUCUAAAAGCUGAAGACCUGGACAGCUGAUUUCCCAUUAAAACGAAUGCCAUCC